Long non-coding RNA from Anoplopoma fimbria (sablefish), 1046 nucleotides. RefSeq lists it as uncharacterized. The record is from RefSeq and is a predicted model, not a curated record. Lineage: Eukaryota; Metazoa; Chordata; Actinopteri; Perciformes; Anoplopomatidae. The transcript is spliced from 14 exons.
CUCACAUUUCCUCCAUGCAUCCCUGGUGGGCGGGACUAAGACGCAAGGAAACGACGCAAGUGAGGGAAUCGAGGAGGCAAUUUAAGAGACUUGGCAUGUACCCAAAGUCUCCCUCUGUGCUCCAGUGUUGUGAUGUUGAAGCCCAGCGUUGGGGAGAUGGUGCUGACGUCUUCUCCAUUAACCUUCUUCAGGAUGGUCGUCUUCCCCGCGUGGUCCAGACCUCUGCACGAACCAGAUGACGACGGGACAUUCUGAAGCCACUUGCUGCAAAGGUGUGAGCAGAAAAUGUCUGAACCCUCUGCAUGAGAUGUUCAUGGCCGAUCAGAGAUGACGAGCAAGAAUGAAGGACGUUGGCAGGUUCUGCUCUGUCCACUCACUAAACGCUACAAAGUGGCUGUAAAGUACACAGAUGUGGGAGAUCUACCAGACGUUUGAGGAAAGAUGUCACCUGGAAGUCAUGCAAGUCUCAAAUGAAGCCUUGAUGGGAUUCAUGAAGAGCAUUGCAGACUCACGGUGAUUCAUUGACUACUUCGGCCUGAUUGAGGUGUUCUACUCAAAGGUGCCUGGCUUUGGAAGAUGCUGCCCUCUGAGAACAAAUGUCUUCAUCCGGGUCUGAGCUGCCUGUCCCGUUAUCCAUCGACAUACAAAUGGCCAAGGUUUGGUUUCCCAGUCUGCAGUGUGAGGAACAAAAGACCAGGACUGUUGCAGGUUUCUUGAUGCUGUUUACUGUUCCCCACAUUGAAGAGUUGGAGACGCCUUAGACUGCAGCAGAGUCCAGCUGGAUCUGCUGCCUACUGCUUUGGGCUAUAUGACCGGACUAGAACUUGGCUUCAGUCAUAAAGAGGAGUUGUCUUAUGCUGCCGACUAAAUUGCUGCAGGAAGAUGGCUACAAGCUCAAGGACUACUUCAGAAGACAUGCUGCUUAUUGUAUCAGCAACUGAAUAGAUAACUUCUGUGUUCAUCUAAUUAUGACUAGUUUGUAUUGACCUUUCAACCCGUUUCCUGACUUGGAUGUUUAUUUCAUAAUAAAUUGUUCAUAAAUUCAA